AUAUUUUGAAUUAAGUAUAUUCAUAAUAUGUUAUCAGACGAAUGUUGUUAAAGAUAUAGGUUGAUGUUUGGUCGAUCUCCAAGAAGAUCGACUGACAUUGCACACAAGGUGGAUAUGGAUUUAAAAAGUGCCAUAAAACACUUAUUAUGAAUGAUCCUUCCGCAGGUUCACCUACGGAAA
Molecule: unclassified non-coding RNA, 180 nt
Filed under: uncultured fungus
Lineage: Eukaryota; Fungi
Description: sequence contains ITS1, 5.8S rRNA gene
Source: RNAcentral